CCUACGGGUGGCAGCAGUGGGGAAUAUUGGACAAUGGGCGAAAGCCUGAUCUAGCCAUGCCGCGUGUGUGAAGAAGGCCUUCGGGUUGUAAAGCACUUUCAGUGGGGAAGAAAGCCUUGGGGCUAAUACCCUCGAGGAAGGACAUCACCCACAGAAGAAGCACCGGCUAACUCCGUGCCAGCAGCCGCGGUAAUACGGAGGGUGCGAGCGUUAAUCGGAAUUACUGGGCGUAAAGCGCGCGUAGGCGGUCUGAUAAGCCGGUUGUGAAAGCCCCGGGCUCAACCUGGGAACGGCAUCCGGAACUGUCAGGCUAGAGUGCAGGAGAGGAAGGUAGAAUUCCCGGUGUAGCGGUGAAAUGCGUAGAGAUCGGGAGGAAUACCAGUGGCGAAGGCGGCCUUCUGGACUGACACUGACGCUGAGGUGCGAAAGCGUGGGUAGCAAACAGGAUUAGAUACCCGAGUAGUC
This 465-nucleotide ribosomal RNA is filed under the name Vreelandella stevensii. Its description in RNAcentral is "partial 16S ribosomal RNA". It matches the Rfam family "Bacterial small subunit ribosomal RNA", at positions 338 to 795 of the family's 1533-position model. The record is from RNAcentral. Lineage: Bacteria; Pseudomonadati; Pseudomonadota; Gammaproteobacteria; Oceanospirillales; Halomonadaceae.